GGCUGAGGAGAUUUCAUCAAUGGUUUUGAUGAAAAUGAGAGAGAUUGCUGAGGCAUACCUUGGUUCAGCUGUCAAGAAUGCCGUUGUCACUGUUCCAGCCUAUUUCAACGAUUCCCAGCGCCAAGCCACCAAGGAUGCUGGAGUUAUUGCUGGCCUCAAUGUGAUGCGUAUCAUCAAUGAGCCUACAGCUGCUGCCAUUGCUUAUGGUCUUGACAAGAAGGCAACCAGUGUUGGAGAGAAGAAUGUGUUGAUUUUUGAUCUUGGAGGUGGUACUUUUGAUGUCUCUCUUCUCACAAUUGAGGAGGGUAUCUUUGAGGUGAAGGCGACAGCUGGUGACACUCACCUUGGUGGUGAGGACUUUGACAACAGAAUGGUCAACCACUUUGUUCAGGAGUUCAAGAGGAAGAACAAGAAAGACAUCAGCGGUAACCCCAGGGCUCUGAGACGGUUGAGGACAGCCUGUGAGAGGGCGAAGAGGACUCUGUCAUCAACUGCUCAAACCACCAUUGAGAUUGACUCUCU
This 522-nucleotide long non-coding RNA is filed under the name Salvia miltiorrhiza (redroot sage). Its description in RNAcentral is "long non-coding RNA (SMIL_LNC011046)". Lineage: Eukaryota; Viridiplantae; Streptophyta; Magnoliopsida; Lamiales; Lamiaceae. The record is from RNAcentral.